RNAcentral lists this ribosomal RNA (274 nucleotides) under uncultured bacterium. RNAcentral's name for it is "partial 16S ribosomal RNA". It matches the Rfam family "Bacterial small subunit ribosomal RNA", at positions 523 to 796 of the family's 1533-position model. The record is from RNAcentral.
AUACGGAGGGUGCAAGCGUUAUCCGGAAUCAUUGGGUUUAAAGGGUCCGUAGGCGGAUUAUUAAGUCAGAGGUGAAAUCCCACAGCUUAACUGUGGAACUGCCUUUGAUACUGGUAGUCUUGAGUUAUAUGGAAGUAGAUAGAAUGUGUAGUGUAGCGGUGAAAUGCAUAGAUAUUACACAGAAUACCGAUUGCGAAGGCAGUCUACUACGUAUAUACUGACGCUAAUGGACGAAAGCGUGGGGAGCAAACAGAAUUAGAUACCCCGGUAGUCC